Molecule: long non-coding RNA, 583 nt
Filed under: Lathyrus oleraceus (garden pea)
Lineage: Eukaryota; Viridiplantae; Streptophyta; Magnoliopsida; Fabales; Fabaceae
Description: Pisum sativum (pea) long non-coding RNA (PSAT_LNC040644)
Source: RNAcentral
UUUUUUCAAUGUCUCUAACUUUUGCCUGGAUCGCCCUUUCGGGUUUUCAAUCCACCGAGACGCUCCUUUUUGCCUAAGUCGCCCUUUGGGGUGUUCGACUUAGCGAGCUUUUGCUUUUUGUUUUUUGUAGGCGAAGUAUUUCUUGACUGCAUCGGAAUUCGCAGGACGAGUGAACUUCUUCAUCCAUUGUUGUAAGUGUCAGAACACUGCCUGAAAAGGCUCUCUGGACAACAUAUGGACAUUCAUAGCUUGGGGAUUUCACUUGCCCCAGGAAUCAGGCACGAAAGACAAGACUUUCUUGAGCACAAGGUCACACGAGGCUUGACCUUCUCUUUGAAUGCUUUUUCAUUCUCUGCUGAUGUGACUGACCAUGACACAUGGCAGUUGAUCUCUUCCUUUCGAUCGAUUUCAGCAUCAGCCAACUUGGGAUUUUGAGGGUGCUAUCUUUCUUUUGUUUUGUUUUUUUUUUUUUGAUAAAUGCCCCAGUUGGCAUGUUCUGCUGAUUCUCGAGAUGCAGCUGAGUGUGAUUUUCUUUUUGCUCAAGAAGUCGGGAAAUACCGUCAGGAAUCCCUUCAACAUCAUC